GAAGCCCUUAGUUGUUCAUUUCAGGCCCGUCUCCUCAGAGCUCACGUCAGUCAUUCCUUCCGCUGCUCUCCACAGGUGAUCUCCCAGUACCUGCAGUCUACCCAUGCUCCUACACACAGUGACUACACCAUGACCUUGCUGGAGGUUUUUGAAGUGGAAAAGGAGGGGGAGAAAGAAGCCUUCAGGGAGGAUCUGCAUAACAGGACGCUGCUGUGGCACGGCUCCAGGCUGAGUAACUGGGUGGGAAUCCUGAGCCACGGGCUUCGCAUUGCCCCGCCAGAGGCCCCCGUCACAGGUUACAUGUUUGGAAAAGGCAUCUACU
Molecule: long non-coding RNA, 322 nt
Organism: Octodon degus (degu)
Lineage: Eukaryota; Metazoa; Chordata; Mammalia; Rodentia; Octodontidae
Exons: 3
Source: RefSeq, a predicted model, not a curated record